This 467-nucleotide ribosomal RNA is filed under the name uncultured bacterium. RNAcentral describes it as "partial 16S ribosomal RNA". It matches the Rfam family "Bacterial small subunit ribosomal RNA", at positions 28 to 506 of the family's 1533-position model. The record is from RNAcentral.
GACGAACGCUGGCGGCGUGCUUAACACAUGCAAGUCGAACGGAAAGGCCCUGCUUUUGUGGGGUGCUCGAGUGGCGAACGGGUGAGUAACACGUGAGUAACCUGCCCUUGACUUUGGGAUAACUUCAGGAAACUGGGGCUAAUACCGGAUAGGAGCUCCUGCUGCAUGGUGGGGGUUGGAAAGUUUCGGCGGUUGGGGAUGGACUCGCGGCUUAUCAGCUUGUUGGUGGGGUAGUGGCUUACCAAGGCUUUGACGGGUAGCCGGCCUGAGAGGGUGACCGGCCACAUUGGGACUGGGAUACGGCCCAGACUCCUAAGGGGGGGAGGAGUUGGGAAUAUUGCACAAUGGGCGGAAGCCUGAUGCAGCAACGCCGCGUGCGGGAUGACGGCCUUCGGGUUGUAAACCGCUUUCGCCUGUGACGAAGCGUGAGUGACGGUAAUGGGUAAAGAAGCACCGGCUAACUACGU